RNAcentral lists this transfer RNA (62 nucleotides) under Podarcis lilfordi (Lilford's wall lizard). RNAcentral describes it as "tRNA.Ile". The record is from RNAcentral. Lineage: Eukaryota; Metazoa; Chordata; Lepidosauria; Squamata; Lacertidae.
GAGCUUAGUUGGUUAGAGCGUGGUGCUAAUAACACCAAGGUUGUGGGUGUGAUCCCAAUACG